Molecule: ribosomal RNA, 465 nt
Filed under: Vreelandella stevensii
Lineage: Bacteria; Pseudomonadati; Pseudomonadota; Gammaproteobacteria; Oceanospirillales; Halomonadaceae
Description: partial 16S ribosomal RNA
Rfam family: Bacterial small subunit ribosomal RNA
Source: RNAcentral
CCUACGGGUGGCAGCAGUGGGGAAUAUUGGACAAUGGGCGAAAGCCUGAUCCAGCCAUGCCGCGUGUGUGAAGAAGGCCUUCGGGUUGUAAAGCACUUUCAGUGGGGAAGAAAGCCUUGGGGCUAAUACCCUCGAGGAAGGACAUCACCCACAGAAGAAGCACCGGCUAACUCCGUGCCAGCAGCCGCGGUAAUACGGAGGGUGCGAGCGUUAAUCGGAAUUACUGGGCGUAAAGCGCGCGUAGGCGGUCUGAUAAGCCGGUUGUGAAAGCCCCGGGCUCAACCUGGGAACGGCACCCGGAACUGUCAGGCUAGAGUGCAGGAGAGGAAGGUAGAAUUCCCGGUGUAGCGGUGAAAUGCGUAGAGAUCGGGAGGAAUACCAGUGGCGAAGGCGGCCUUCUGGACUGACACUGACGCUGAGGUGCGAAAGCGUGGGUAGCAAACAGGAUUAGAUACCCUUGUAGUC